AAGAAAAAACUAGGAGUAAAAUAGGGCUGCUAACUUUAUUUUGGGUGAUUCGACUUCAUCCUUUUUCUUA
Molecule: transfer RNA, 70 nt
Filed under: Paratectonatica tigrina
Lineage: Eukaryota; Metazoa; Mollusca; Gastropoda; Littorinimorpha; Naticidae
Description: tRNA-Ser
Source: RNAcentral